ACCUCCUACUUCAGAGCAUUAAGGGAAAGAGACCCACACAGCCUGGUGCCUCGAGGGUAUUCACGAAACACUAGUUCCCAUUCAGUAGCUGUACCUCCAUCUUCACCUCUGCCACUUCUCCCUCAGGACACACCGGGUCAGCAGUCACAAGGCCUGGAGAAUAUAUGGGACAUCCUCUUUCUGCUAUUCUUGUGUUUUUCGGCUCAUCUUCACAAUCACCAUAAGAGGCAGUGAAGAGUCUAGGAUGCAAUCACCAUUUAGUGCAGCUGGUCUCAGUUUAUAGCAUGCUUUCUGCAAUAACAGUUGUAAAGAAAAACAAACAAACAUGGAAACCAUCUCUGCAUUGCUGGAGAGGGCAAUCAGAAUCUUCAGCAUUCCAGUCCUAAGUCCUUCUUACAGAGGGAAUGAUGAAGGAGGAUGUGGUGGAAUCACCUCCCCAGGAUGUCUGCUUUAAAUGGAAACCAGGAAACACAACAGAAAGAUGACUCGUCCUUCAAAAAAACUGCCAUG
Molecule: long non-coding RNA, 510 nt
Filed under: Callithrix jacchus (white-tufted-ear marmoset)
Lineage: Eukaryota; Metazoa; Chordata; Mammalia; Primates; Cebidae
Description: lncRNA (ENSCJAG00000066323.2)
Source: RNAcentral